AUACUUGGCCUGGCAGGAGAGAUACCAUGAUAAAGGAGGUGGUUUUCUAGGGCAAGUCUCCUCCAUUGCAAUCCAGGUGUGCUGACCUGUGAGUUCCCCAAAUGAGGGAAGCUCGACUGUGUAAUUUCUGGAAGUGAGGGACUGCGUUCACACUUUCCUCUG
Phyllostomus discolor (pale spear-nosed bat) is the source of this 162-nucleotide small nuclear RNA. RefSeq annotates it as U1 spliceosomal RNA. Lineage: Eukaryota; Metazoa; Chordata; Mammalia; Chiroptera; Phyllostomidae. The transcript has a single exon. The record is from RefSeq and is a predicted model, not a curated record.